GGAAGGCAAUAAUGUAUGACAAAAACGGCAAUAAUGUCGAGAAAAGAAGUAGGAGAAACGGCUGUGACCUGAUUACUCGGGCCGAAUGUGUUUCAUUCUGCAGUUUGCUGUUUUUACGUAUUUCAAGACUUCUCUGA
RNAcentral lists this long non-coding RNA (137 nucleotides) under Struthio camelus australis. RNAcentral describes it as "lncRNA (ENSSCUG00000018176.1)". Lineage: Eukaryota; Metazoa; Chordata; Aves; Struthioniformes; Struthionidae. The record is from RNAcentral.